RNAcentral lists this ribosomal RNA (483 nucleotides) under Ornithinibacillus sp. 1901BAB. Its description in RNAcentral is "bacterial SSU rRNA". It matches the Rfam family "Bacterial small subunit ribosomal RNA", at positions 62 to 514 of the family's 1533-position model. Lineage: Bacteria; Bacillati; Bacillota; Bacilli; Caryophanales; Bacillaceae. The record is from RNAcentral.
UCGAGCGAGUGAAAUUAACUGAUCCCUUCGGGGUGACGUUAAUGGAUCUAGCGGCGGACGGGUGAGUAACACGUGGGCAACCUGCCUGUAAGACUGGGAUAACUCGCGGAAACGUGAGCUAAUACCGGAUAACACUUCGAACCACAUGGUUUGAAGAUGAAAGGCGGCGCAAGCUGUCACUUACAGAUGGGCCCGCGGCGCAUUAGCUAGUUGGUGAGGUAACGGCUCACCAAGGCGACGAUGCGUAGCCGACCUGAGAGGGUGAUCGGCCACACUGGGACUGAGACACGGCCCAGACUCCUACGGGAGGCAGCAGUAGGGAAUCUUCCGCAAUGGACGAAAGUCUGACGGAGCAACGCCGCGUGAGUGAUGAAGGUUUUCGGAUUGUAAAACUCUGUUGUUAGGGAAGAACAAGUACAAUAGUAACUGAUUGUACCUUGACGGUACCUAACCAGAAAGCCCCGGCUAACUACGUGCCAGCAG